RNAcentral lists this ribosomal RNA (488 nucleotides) under uncultured bacterium. Its description in RNAcentral is "bacterial SSU rRNA". It matches the Rfam family "Bacterial small subunit ribosomal RNA", at positions 28 to 507 of the family's 1533-position model. The record is from RNAcentral.
GAUGAACGCUAGCGGCAGGCUCAUUACAUGCAAGUCGAGGGGCAGCAUGGUGUACCAAUACACUGAUGGCGACCGGCAAACGGGUGCGGAACACGUCCCCAACCUUCCCAAAACUGGUGAAUAGCCCUCCAAAAGGAGGAUUAAUACACCAUAACAUAGUGAAGCGGCUUCGCUUUAUUAUUAAAGUAGCAAUACGGUUUUGGAUGGGCGUGCGCCUGAUUAGAUAGUUGGCGGGGUAACGGCCCACCAAGUCUACAAUCAGUAACUGGUGUGAGAGCACAACCAGUCACACGGGCACUGAAACACGGGCCCAACUCCUACGGGAGGCAGCAGUAAGGAAUAUUGGUCAAUGGACAAAAGUCUGAACCAGCCAUGCCGCGUGAAGGAUGAAGGCCCUCUGGGUUGUAAACUUCUUUUAUAGGGAACAAAAAAAGGAAAUUCUUUCUCACUUGACGGUACCCUAGGAAUAAGCACCGGCUAACUCCGUG